This 610-nucleotide long non-coding RNA is filed under the name Chinchilla lanigera (long-tailed chinchilla). Its description in RNAcentral is "lncRNA (ENSCLAG00000023923.1)". The record is from RNAcentral. Lineage: Eukaryota; Metazoa; Chordata; Mammalia; Rodentia; Chinchillidae.
CCGGUGUCCAUUGUUUAAGGCUGAGCAUAGUUUUGGUUUUCUCUACAAACCUCCCUCGGCUCAUGCAGGGGUUACUGCUUCCUGGGGAGCAGCCGGGGUUGAUUCUGUUGAUAGCAUUAUGUAGUAUUUACUGACGUCUCCACCCGUGCUCCAGGAGGGCUUGGCAUCCUGGUGACCCGGAGGCUGGCGCAAUGCCUGGCAUGCAGGACAGAGGACUUCAGCCAACUGCAGGGAGAGGGAGAAGGAUCCAUGCCCUGGGGAAGCUAGGAAUCUCCCAAGACUUGUAGCUCUCAGAGAGUGACGGCUCUGGGGACUGCAGAUAUCAGGAUUGGGCCCCUGGAGUAUGCUGCCUCACACUGGAUGAGAGAUUCCAGCAGCUGGAUGUGUCACAGCUUCCAGCAGAAGACAAGUCACUCUUCCUGAGAGGAAAGUCCCCCAGUCCAGAUGCAGAACCAUCUUCUCAGGAUGGCCUAGAGACGGAGAAAAUGAAAGAUUAAAAUCAACAGGAAAGUCAUUCUCUCUGAGCUGUGUGUCAUCUCCAGUCUUCCUCAUUUCUUUCCAUUCCCUAGGAUGUAGCACAAGGCUCGAGCCCCACCUUCCUGUUUCUUAC